CUUCCAAUAAUAUGUUCUGAAUACAGCUGUUAACUGUUUAUUCUGUGUAAAUGGUGAUUGUGAUAAUGUGUGAUAAGUGUGCAGUUUAACUUGAAAGUGGUUUAAUUUAUAUGUUGCUGUGUUGUUUUAAAUUAUAUGUGAAUCAGUUUGUCACAGUCUAGUGAUACUGAUAAGAAUGACAGCCAAAUAACCUAGCAAAUAACUGUUUUAUUAGUUGUUGAAUACUAGCGUUUUGGCCAAGAAUAGUUGGAGAUUUGGAGGUGUUAGUUUAAGAUUGCUUUUAUAUUGUGUCUAUCUGUGUUUCCUAGGAGGGAGACAGAGUGUGUAGUUGUGUGCCCAUAAAUGUGAUUUCUGUAUUGGCAUAUCUGCUGGGUACCCAUUAUGUGUUUCUACAAAGAUAUUGCUUUGUGAGAUGACGUGUAAUAUUACAUUGGAUGCUGAGUAUGAGUUAUAUGGUUUGAAAUGAAUUGGUGAUUAUGAGUUUAGUACUUCAGUAAGAUGUGCUAAAAUUUGGAACAAGGUGGAAGCUGAAAUGUUGGGAUUAUGGAAGAAUAGGUAGUCUAUAUUCACUGCUUUGGCAUAUAAGCAGGAUGCAAAGGAAGAGAUUGGUAAUAUGAUUUUUGUAAAGAAAUUUUACAAGUGUUGGAAGGAUGAGGCAGGUUUGAUGUCUGGAGAUGAUAUGGAUCUCCUUAAAAUACAGUCAUGCCUUGGUAAUAUGUUGCCACAGUAUUCUUUGCUUGUGAAACAAUUGAUUUCAGACUGGGCCAAUUUGGAUAGCUCAGAGUUUCUUACCAAGGUUAUAGAAAAGGAAAAUGCAGGUUGUUUUGAAUUAAGAAAAGAUUUAGGAAAGUAAGGUUGCUUAUUAUGCUCAGGGAUUGCAACAUAUUAUGUCCAGCUACACAGGAUGAGAGCAAGGAUGGGAUGGAGCACAUAAAGCCCGUGGAAGG
Molecule: non-coding RNA, 947 nt
Organism: Pelobates cultripes (western spadefoot toad)
Lineage: Eukaryota; Metazoa; Chordata; Amphibia; Anura; Pelobatidae
Source: the annotation of a GenBank genome assembly